RNA transcript from Capsicum annuum, 3683 nucleotides. It is a transcript of the gene named mediator of RNA polymerase II transcription subunit 13, with no coding region annotated. The transcript has 7 exons. NCBI's taxonomy places the organism in Eukaryota, Viridiplantae, Streptophyta, Magnoliopsida, Solanales, Solanaceae. The record is from RefSeq and is a predicted model, not a curated record.
GACGGAGACACGCAAAAAUCUACCAAAACGUUCCACCACCUCAGCUUGAAAAUAUUCCUUCUCGCCAUUUGUAACCGUAAAGGUAAGAUAGUAAACAUCGUAUAUGCCGCAGUCAUCUUCAUUAACCUUGAGAAUGUCAUUGACCUCAUAUUUAGUGUCCUACAAAGAAUACAAGGGAGCUUUGUCAGCGUUCUAGAGAAAACAAGCAAAAGGAACAAGUAGAAAGACAAUAGGAAGUGUGACGAGCAUACAAAUUUCUGAUUGUACAGCUUAAGUGCCCGUGCAACAUAAUCCUUCAUCAUUUCAACAUCAUCAGGUUAUUCCAAGAAGUUUGGCCUAGGGAAUACGAAAAUUGUUAGGAUCGAUAGAUUCAACAACGUAAGCCUCAAAAAGAAAAGUAUGGAACAAAUACAAGAUCUUAUUCGGAUGCAACCCAUUACAUGUGCUAUUCGUUCCUACCUGAGUCUUCAUAACCAUAGAUCGAAGUUCUCUGCAGAUACUUCUUUAUUGAGAGGCUUACAAAAGCCAUAAACAAUGUGAGGAUCAGAGGAUGCAAAGGUUUAAGGACAUGCAGGUAGCAUGCUACUCACUUUUUAAAGUAAAUGUAAUCUCAUAGAGAAUAUGGUGAUGCAAGGAUUAGUACUAAUGAGGUGUAGCUUAGUCAACAUCCUCCCAACUUCCUGGAGUGAUGUUAGAAAGUCUAUCAAGGUAUGCACUCCAUAAAAUUUUUGGAGAAUUCAGCACAUAAUUACUAAAUACAGGAACUUGUAUUUCAAGUGAUGUUAAAGUGCUCCUUUUCCCCAAAAUAUAAUUACAGAUUCAUCUCAUUCCAUAACACCAAAAAGCUGAUUGAUAAGAUCGAAUAUACACUAAGGACAGGUAAGGUUUUCAAUGAAAAAGGUAAUUACUGAAAUAGAACACUGUUGAACCCUGACUAACAAAGUGAAACCACAUAAAAUGACAUCAUGAAUCACAAUUUCUAGUGGAGGCAAGUUCCUCAAUACAAGAGGAGUUCAAUUACACCAGAAUUCUACCUCUGAGCAACCAUGCCAAUCGGCGUUAUAACAGUAGCAGUAACAGCAACUGCAGCAGUCUUAGCAGUACAAGUACAUCUUCUAGUGAUAGCGAUUAGAAGACUUCAGGAACUGGUGAUUUUGAAGCAGAUGCUUAUUCUUUGAUGUGUAGACAAUCUGGAUUAUCUUCUUUGGAUCGGUCUCAAAAUGACAAUCUUAAAACGGGCUUUAAGAGGUCACGGACUGGGAUUUCUGAGUCAUUUAGUCAGGGAGGAGCAGUGGUAAAUCCGUUAACAAGUGAUUAUGCCUCAAGGGAAGUUAAUAGUUCGGCAAUAACUGGAGGAAAUGAUCAGACUGGGCUUCAGUGGGGUUGGGAUGAUGACUAUAGAGAUGUAGGGAUGGAUAUUCAGGCACUUCUCCCAGAGUUUGGAGAUUUUGGUGAUUUCUUUGAGAAUGAUGCUUUGCCAUUUGGAGAGCCUCCAGGAACUGCAUGAGUCUCAGACUCUUAUGUUUCCUGCCUCAGAUAGUGUGGAUGUUGGUAGCAGCCCCUGUCCUUCGAUGAUGGACGUGCAAGAUCAGCUUCUUUUGCCAGUAGGUUUUUCGUCCUUUGAGAGCUUUAAUCAACCGCCACCUCCAUCAAUUCUGGAUGAUUCACUGAGCAAGCAUCAGGAGGUUAUUAAAAGUGCUGCAGUUGAUAAUCAAGUAAACAGUACUUCUGCAUCUAUUGCUGGUGAAUUUGAUCACUUAAUUAAAGCUGAAGCUCUCAUGUCCUUCGCUCCAAAGUAUGGAGCAGUUGAAACCCCUACAGGAGAACUCCCAUUUGAUUUUCAGGAAUCCCUAUGUUACGAAGUCCCGGGAAGUGGCGACUGUGAAUUCAAGCUCAAAUAACUAUGUUUACCCAGCGACCCCACCUUUGUAGCCUUGCUUUGAUGCAUGUGAGGAGAAGUCCGGGGUGACUGUAAACCUCAAAGCAGGUACCUUAAGGCAUGAUACAGGCUCCAUUCUUCAAUCAAAGAAACAUUACACUCACAUUGAAAGUGGGAAAGAGAAAAACAAUGAUAAGUUGUCUGGUUAUGUACGUAGUUGCGCCACACGUGAGACUCAAGUAGCACUAUCUCCGUUUUCUGCUUUCAAUUCAACAAAUUCUGUUAAAGGUAUCCACAAUAAAACCGAUAAAGCCAAUGAAGGCUACUAAAAACAGACAGCUCUGGUCAAUCGAUCAAAACUGUGCUAGCAACAGAAGUUGAAUGCCUUAUGUGCCAGACAUUUAUGUGUAAGAUAUGGCAUACACUAUUAUCUUCAAGUGGCUGCCUUUCUGUAGGCAUGAGCAGGUUUUCCAGGAGUUCCAGUAGAAACCAUUCACAAGGUGAAGCAGUGGUCUCUGGCGACAAUUUGUCAAGCAAAUCUGAGAUGAAGAAGAAAGAAAUAAUACCAGUUAGGAUAGCGGGUGAUAUUGAUGGAGGAUUACUGGAUGGGACCCUUAAUGCACCAGUUGGUGUGUAGCGCUCUGUUGGAGUUUCUAAGGGAAUGAAGCAACCAACAGCUGGUUUAGAAUCUUGCCACUCUGUCCAGCAUAAUUCUUUCAUUGAGGAUAGCAUGCUAGUUUAUGGGCUAAGGCAACCACUUCAGGAACUCCUAGAUGGGAUGGCUUUACUUGUGCAGCAAGCCACAUCUCUUGUUGAUGUUGCCCUAGAUGCCGAUAGCAAUGAUGGUUCUUUUGGUUGGCUCUCACUGCAGGAGCAGUGGACGCGUGGUUUUCCAUGUAGAUCAUCCAUGGUUCAUGCAGGUUGUGGGGGAGUAUUGGCUUCCUGUCAUUCGCUGGAUAUUGCUGGUGUGGAGCUUAUUGAUCCACUUUCAGCUGAUGUUCAGGCAUCAUUUACCCUCACUCUGCUGCAGAAUGAUAUAAAAGCAGCUCUGAUAUCUGCUUUCGGUACUAUGGAAGGUCCUUUAUCUGUUAUUGAUUGGUGCAAAGGUCGCCGUCAAUCAAAUGAUGGGGAAUAUCCGGUGACACUUUUUCUGCAGCGUCCACUGAAUGUCGAGAUUCUUCAAUUACCAUAUCGUUGUCUGUUGGAGAACCUAUAAGUUCAUCUGAGUCUUGUGCUGGUGAAUCAUCUAGUUUGAGAGAUGGCAUCAGGGUGGAUGAGGCAAGUGAGCACAGAUUAAGCCAAGAUACUUGCCUAUCAGAAUCGGAGCAUCAACUGGAUUCAAGGCUUAGGCCAACAUUGGCUGCAGUACCGUACCCGGGUAUACUUGUAGGUUUUUUAUACUGAAAUUGGUCCAUCCUUGACCAUUCCUCAUUUUUUGGAUCAGUGAGCAUUUCAGGUUGCGUUUACUCCAUGUUUUUAAGAUAGUAAAUUUCUUUAUUUUUCAUGUGCUGGCCUUAUUUCCCCCUGCUGUGCUAUUAGUUAUCUCUAUAAGAAAGGCAUGCCCUUUUUUUGUUGUGAGAUAACUAGCUAACUUUUUAUGCUGUGAUUUGAGUAUAGCUCUAGCAUUGUCGCCUCGCCUCUUACUAGUUCUACAACUUCUUUCUAAUGGAUUACUUUUAUGGCUUCAACCUUGAUUACUCAAUUAAAUAAAAGCAUGAUGGAGCUGCAUUUGCUUCUCCCAUUCACUUUUUAAUGUAAAGGGCUCACUGAUCAAUACAUAAACAAAUGCAGAGGACUUCCCAGA